GACCAUGUGGCCUAAUGGAAAAGACAUCUCACUUUGGGUCGGAAGAUUGAGGGUUCAAGUCCUUUCAUGGUCA
Macaca mulatta (Rhesus monkey) is the source of this 73-nucleotide non-coding RNA. Lineage: Eukaryota; Metazoa; Chordata; Mammalia; Primates; Cercopithecidae. The record is from Rfam.